This 274-nucleotide ribosomal RNA is filed under the name uncultured bacterium. Its description in RNAcentral is "partial 16S ribosomal RNA". It matches the Rfam family "Bacterial small subunit ribosomal RNA", at positions 523 to 796 of the family's 1533-position model. The record is from RNAcentral.
AUACGGAGGGGGCUAGCGUUGUUCGGAUUUACUGGGCGUAAAGGGCGCGUAGGCGGACAGUUUAGUCAGAGGUGAAAGCCCAGGGCUCAACCUUGGAAUUGCCUUUGAUACUGGCUGUCUUGAGUUCGGGAGAGGUGAGUGGAAUGCCGAGUGUAGAGGUGAAAUUCGUAGAUAUUCGGCGGAACACCAGUGGCGAAGGCGACUCACUGGCCCGAUACUGACGCUGAGGCGCGAAAGCGUGGGGAGCAAACAGGAUUAGAAACCCCAGUAGUCC